Molecule: non-coding RNA, 136 nt
Organism: Populus trichocarpa (black cottonwood)
Lineage: Eukaryota; Viridiplantae; Streptophyta; Magnoliopsida; Malpighiales; Salicaceae
Source: Rfam
UAACUUGAUUCUCUACACUCAUUUAUUUAUGACAGAUUCACAUAUAACUACUCAGAAUAAUUCAUUAUCGCAAGCCCGACUAUAUCAAUUCAUAAGAAAUAUACAGGUGACCACAAUUGGUAAAGGGAAACUGGAA